RNAcentral lists this ribosomal RNA (253 nucleotides) under uncultured bacterium. RNAcentral's name for it is "partial 16S ribosomal RNA". It matches the Rfam family "Bacterial small subunit ribosomal RNA", at positions 524 to 776 of the family's 1533-position model. The record is from RNAcentral.
UACAGAGGGGGCGAGCGUUAUUCGGAAUUAUUGGGCGUAAAGGGCGCGUAGGCGGCCAUUCAAGUGACGGGUGAAAUCCCUCGGCUUAACCGAGGAACUGCCUGUCAGACUGGGCGGCUUGAGACCGGGAGAGGUGAGUGGAAUUCCCAGUGUAGCGGUGAAAUGCGUAGAUAUCGGGAGGAACACCAGUGGCGAAGGCGACUACCUGGCCUGUUCUUGACGCUGAGGCGCGAAAGCUAGGGGAGCAAACGGG